This is a long non-coding RNA of Magnolia sinica, 1308 nucleotides long. RefSeq lists it as uncharacterized. Lineage: Eukaryota; Viridiplantae; Streptophyta; Magnoliopsida; Magnoliales; Magnoliaceae. The record is from RefSeq and is a predicted model, not a curated record. The transcript has 4 exons.
AUUAGACGGGGAUUUCGUCAAAAUGCAAUUAGAGGUCAUAAAGAUUGAAAUUCAUCUUCAUAUUUGAGUCACUUUUCUAGAUAGGAUUAUUGUCAAAAUGCUCCAACUCCACUUUUUAGAAGAAAAAUAAACAAUCUUGGCAUUUACAGUUUAUUCAGAGUUGUUAUAUAUGAGAAUGAAGUUGCUAAUCUUGAUAACCAUAUGAUGUAUGCUUUGUAUGUUUAUUGAGUUGACUUAUAUUGCAAGGUCAUAUCAAAAUUUAUGCAAAUCCACUUGUCAUUGCUGAAUACCUGUGUAUAUUGUUAAGAGAUGCGCAUUACGUAUAUAGGGAGUUAUUUGAUACUCUGGCAGCGUAUGACACUUAACAAUAUAUUUCUUGUUUGUAGAAUCAUUGAUCUAUUGUACAACUAAGUAACAUGUUUUUUGUAUCAAAUCCAUUUUGAAUUUUAUUGUCCCUCUAGUGAAGAUGGUUUGGAUUUUUGGGGCGGCUCAUGCAGGUGAAAUACCUUUGAAUCAUGAAAGCAACUCACAAGACUAAUGUAGAUUUUUACUUUGGCAUGUGAAAUCAUUUCUUUUAUGGACACGAUAUGUACUAAAAACCUUCUUGCAGUCAUCAGGAUAUUUGUGUCGGGACCUGUACCAUUUUAGUUCUGUCUUUCUUCAAUAAAGCAGUGGUGUGUCUAUAUUGAACUGAAACUUGAAUUUAAUGUCUGGAACAUGCUAGAUUGGGCUCUUAGUCAAUUGCUGACUGAGAGGAUCACUAUUCUGUCUACCUACUAUUAUGGUACAUUUAAAUUGACACCUCAGUUUACAGAGGAUUAUCCAAAUAAGCCACCAACAGUUCGGUUUGUUUCUAGAAUGUUUCAUCCAAACAGUUUUAGGCAUGGAUGAAUGGGAGCUAUAGAUCGAUGGAUUUUAUUAUUAUUAUUAUUAUUUUGAAACUAUUCGAUUUAUUAUUGUAAAUAUUAUUCGCGGCAGCUCGAUGCAUGUGAAGGGGCCACAUAGGCAUGUAUUUUUUAUUAGGAAAACAAUCACUAGGCACAAUCGACUUCCUAAGAGGAAUGUGAAAUCAAGUGGGCCUUGACCAAAAAGGUCAAUGAUAAGGUCCAUCAUUUUAUGAGUUGGAGAGGCAGAACUCAUAAAAUCGGACUCACUGUGAGUCGGGCAUCUAUUUUGUGUCAUUUCCUCCUCUUUUUAUUAUAAACUGAAUGUUUGCAAUCUAAUGAGCCUGUACAUCCAAAACUGCAGGCAACAUGAAGCUGCCAUAGGCAAUGGAAAAGAGAGCUUAACUAGUAAGGCAUAGGGAAA